Molecule: long non-coding RNA, 2650 nt
Organism: Lagenorhynchus albirostris (white-beaked dolphin)
Lineage: Eukaryota; Metazoa; Chordata; Mammalia; Artiodactyla; Delphinidae
Exons: 2
Source: RefSeq, a predicted model, not a curated record
CCUAUCCUCUCGUGGACCCUAACCUUCGUCUUGCAACUUACCGCCUCACUGCUGAGCAUUUUACAGAGACCAUGAUUUUCAGAUACACAGACGUGCGUACGAAGUAGACGCGAACAGCAUCAGCCUUUCAGGUUUACUAGCAGUUUGAGGUUUCAGCGACCCGGAAACAUUUCGGCUCAGAAUGUGAAUUUUUCGCGACGCUAAGCACACGUGGGGGACCGCGCGGCGGACCGAGUUUUGUCGAUUCCUCGCUGCGCUCGGCCCUGUAGCCAACGAGCCUGGAGGCGGCGAGGCCUCUCGGCCGUCCUUCGGGGGCCGCCGCGCACCGCCCGCCUGGGAACCUGGGCCGCCCAGCACGGGUCAGGGAGAACCGGGGCCGGGAACCGCGGCCGCCGCCACACAGCACGGGCCGGGAGCCGGAACCGCCCAGCACGGGCCGGUCGGCCGGAGGGACGGCCGGUCGGCCGGCGUCCGCGGGGCGCGCUGGGCCAGGGCGGAGGCCCCAACUACCUGAGGAUGUUGUGCGCCUCCAUGCUCCGGUUCUGGUUGCUCGAGCACACCACCGCCACCCGCAGCGGCGAUGACGGCAUGGCGGCGGCCGCACGGUCCGCGACUCCCGCUUCGGGACUCCCACCCAGCCGCGCCGCUUCCGCGCGAGCAAGAUGGCGGCCCCGGCGCCCGGAAGUCAUUACGCGAAGCGGCGGCGCCGGCGACGUAGCGCGUCAGGACGCGCGGCGCUGGCGUGUGUACGGCGUCCCAGCGGCUUCCCAGCGCCGGCCCAGAGAGCUGGACCGCGGGCCGUGGGAGGCCCAGCUCCCCGGGCGCCAGACCGGCCAGCGACCGCGCCGCUGCUUCGGGCGCGAGCGCCGAGGCCGGCGCUUGGCACGGAAGCCUCCGGGCGCCCUGCGUUGGCGUCCUGACGUCACAAGCCCCCGCCGCCGUCGCCGCUAGUGACGCGCAAGGCGUCGCGCCGGCUCCUGUGACGUCACGCGCGCCGUCGCCGUCGCCUGGAGUGACGUGGGAGGCGCCGCGGCCCCUGGGGCGGGCGUUGGAGGUGACUGGUCGUGCCCGGCGUCUCCAGGUCUUCGUUGCUGCACGCGGGCUGCGGGCUUUCUCCAGUUUUGGCGAGCAGGGGCUACUUUUCAUUGCGGUGCAUGGGCUUCUCAUUGCGGUGGCUUCUCUUGUUGCGGAGCACGGGCUCUAGAGCACAGGCUCAGUAGUUGUGGCGCACGGGCUUCGUUGCUCCGCGGCAUGUGGGAUCUUCCCGGACCAGGGCUCGAACCCGUGUCCCCUGCAUUGGCAGGCAGACCCUCAACCACUGCACCACCAGGGACGCCCCGGAAAGAGGGCAUUUAUGGGUGGUAGGGUUAACAGUGCUUUGAAUGCCCGUUAUACUUUUUUGAAUUCCUUAACUUUGUACUUUAUGAUGAACAUGUAUUUUCUCUUACCCCCACCACAAAUAAUAGCGCUGUUUACAUUUUGAAAGGAAGGCCCCCUCCAUGGCUUCCCCAGUAUGUGCUCCUGAAUUCAAAGACAUUAUGGUCUGACAGUACCGGUGCAAUACCGAGCUCUCCUACCUCACCUCUCCCUGCUUCUUGUUUAGAACUUAAGGGAGCACCAGCUGGAAACUGUCCCAUGCCUUUCUUACCUCGGCGUACGCCACCUCCAUACCUCAAGUUGUAGUCCAGGCACUGAGAUUCAGAUAGAUGUCACCAGCCUCAAGAAAGCUUACCUGCGUCCUCCUCUUCUCCUGCUGGCCUUUCUCUGCUCCUAGUACCACCCUCAACUUAACUCUUAUGGUUCUGAACACUUUUAGCAUUCUGUGCAUCUCUACCCCACUGCAUUCAUAGACUCUGAGCUCCAAAGGGCUAGGGACUCCACUUCCAGCCCAGAUGGCUUUUUUGCCUUAUGUGUGGUGCAUUUAGAAAUGUUCCUCUAGAGGCACUCACUGAGUACUCGUCGGGCAGGUACAUGAGGGAGAAGGUGCCCAGGUGGUUGUCAGAGCCCUCUGUGCACUGUCUGUGCUUAUGCUACCAGCAUCUGAUGAACUUUAUACUUUCAUCAUGAUGUGGGAACCCCAAGCUGAAAUAUAACUAGCCUUGGGAACUUCCCUGGUGGCGCAGUGGUUGAGAAUCCGCCUGCCAGUGCAGGGGACACGGGUUCGAGCCCUGGUCCGGGAAGAUCCCUCAUGCCUCAGAGCAAAUAAGCCCAUGCGCUACAACUACUGAGCCUGCGAGCCACAGCUACUUGUAAGGCCAACUGGCCCGAGGCAGGGGAAGGCAAUCAGACUCACAGGAUGCAUCAGACCGAAACCUUCCGGACCACCCAGUUCCAGAAACUGACCUGGAGACUUUCCGGACCACCCAGUUCCAAUGGGGACUUUCCAUCCGGCCCAGCCUUCCCGCCAUUCGAGGGGCGGGACUAACGGUCCCAAGACUGAUGCAACCGGCACCGGAUAUUGCCACGAUACCCGAAGAGACCACCAAAUAAGGAAUAACCUGCGCCCUCCCGGAUUCACCGCACCCCUUUCCCUUCUUCCCCUAUAAAUUCUUACCAAACCCUCGCCCGGGCGCGACUUCUCUGGCCCCUUUCUCUGGGACCAGUGAACCUCGCCCGGGAGCGUUCCCAAAUAAAGCUUGUUUAAGCUCUC